CAUCAGCUAGGGUUAAGGGUCAGGAUCAUGAAGUUGAAACAUAGCUGCCAUGGGAGCAAGUUUUGGAGAAGACAGGCUGUGGGCUGGGAAAACACCCCCAAAUUGUCUACUACAACUAUAAUUGCACUGGAGAGAAAACAGGAAGAUUUGAGUGCAAACAAAACGGUCAAGUAUAGAAGGAGUUAUAUUUAGUACCAUGUGUGGGAUAAACACGAGUAAGAAGAGCACAGCAAAAAGGACGCGUGAACUGACGCCGGCAAGGAACGGUACAAGGGGCCAACGAGAUAAAAGGAGUGAAAGAAGUUCACCCCAGAUGAAGAACACAUUUAGUACAACUCAAAAGAAGGAAGGAGAUGACCUUCACCCCUUCCAAGGCUCUCUGAAGAAAAUUGAAGGUAAAUAUGAUUAAAUAGGAAAAUGUGAGCAACUGCUGUCUGACUGAAAAAUCAACAAGCCACCACACAUGGAAACAAGGAGCAACGAGUUUCCCUGUUCAGAAACCAGUCUAAGAACAGGGAGGUUCUCCUGAUAUUUUCUCCAAGAAAAAUCAGUGCCCAAUAAAUCAGCGUUUGGAGGCCUGGCUCCUGAAUAGCAGUCAAAGAUGAACAGAGGCCAGAAUCUCGCUGACCUGCAAGGCACCACCUGAGACCCCAACUCGACAGUCGCCGCCUAUAAAUCUUCCCGCAGUGGCCACCCCAUCAGCUGCUCUGCAUGUGGAGGGUAACAAAGGAAGCCAGA
This 738-nucleotide long non-coding RNA is filed under the name Equus caballus (horse). RNAcentral's name for it is "lncRNA (ENSECAG00000053085.1)". The record is from RNAcentral. Lineage: Eukaryota; Metazoa; Chordata; Mammalia; Perissodactyla; Equidae.